Brassica napus (rape) is the source of this 111-nucleotide non-coding RNA. The record is from Rfam. Lineage: Eukaryota; Viridiplantae; Streptophyta; Magnoliopsida; Brassicales; Brassicaceae.
AGAGUAUAAUGCAGCCAAGGAUGACUUGCCGAAACGUCGUUCAUCAUGCGUAUAGGUAUUGGUGAUGAACAUAUUUCUGGCAAGUUGUCCUUCGGCUACAUUUUGCUCUCU